This 28-nucleotide small RNA is filed under the name Bombyx mori (domestic silkworm). RNAcentral's name for it is "ovarian small RNA-16458". Lineage: Eukaryota; Metazoa; Arthropoda; Insecta; Lepidoptera; Bombycidae. The record is from RNAcentral.
GCAGAACGAAAUCGGCGCCGCCAAGCUA